Molecule: transfer RNA, 81 nt
Filed under: Elusimicrobia bacterium RIFOXYA2_FULL_39_19
Lineage: Bacteria; Pseudomonadati; Elusimicrobiota
Description: tRNA-Leu
Rfam family: tRNA
About the family: Transfer RNA (tRNA) molecules are approximately 80 nucleotides in length. Their secondary structure includes four short double-helical elements and three loops (D, anti-codon, and T loops).
Source: RNAcentral
GCCGGGGUGGUGGAAUGGCAGACACGUACGUUUAAGGGGCGUAUACUUAACGGUGUGCGGGUUCAACUCCCGCCCUCGGCA